RNAcentral lists this ribosomal RNA (493 nucleotides) under uncultured Atopostipes sp. RNAcentral's name for it is "bacterial SSU rRNA". It matches the Rfam family "Bacterial small subunit ribosomal RNA", at positions 33 to 507 of the family's 1533-position model. Lineage: Bacteria; Bacillati; Bacillota; Bacilli; Lactobacillales; Carnobacteriaceae. The record is from RNAcentral.
ACACGCUGCGGCAUGCCUAAUACAUGCAAGUCGAACGCUGAAGCACUCUGCUUGCAGAGUGCGGAUGAGUGGCGAACGGGUGAGUAACACGUGGGAAAUCUGCCUAUAAGUGGGGGAUAACAUUCGGAAACGGAUGCUAAUACCGCAUAUAUUCUUGGACCGCCUGGUCCUUGAAAGAAAGACGGCUUUGCUGUCGCUUAUAGAUGAUCCCGCGGCGUAUUAGUUAGUUGGUGGGGUAAAGGCCUACCAAGACAAUGAUACGUAGCCGACCUGAGAGGGUGAUCGGCCACACUGGGACUGAGACACGGCCCAGACUCCUACGGGAGGCAGCAGUAGGGAAUCUUCCACAAUGGGCGAAAGCCUGAUGGAGCAAUGCCGCGUGAAUGAAGAGGGUCUUCGGAUCGUAAAGUUCUGUUAUUAGAGAAGAACAAGUCAAGGAGUAACUGUCUUGACUUUGACGGUACCUAACCAGAAAGUCACGGCUAACUACGUG